This is a long non-coding RNA of Amphiprion ocellaris (clown anemonefish), 3037 nucleotides long. RefSeq lists it as uncharacterized. The transcript is spliced from 4 exons. Lineage: Eukaryota; Metazoa; Chordata; Actinopteri; Pomacentridae. The record is from RefSeq and is a predicted model, not a curated record.
CCUCUACAUUUACACAUGUAUUGCCUUCUUUUUUAAAAGAUUUAUUCUUUUAUUUAUUCCUCUAUAUUGGCACAUUUAUUUCCGUAUUUUUAACAGAUACAUUUUUUAAUUUUUUCUUUUAUUUAUUCCUCUUUAUAUUUACAUAUUUAUUUCCUUAUUUUUUUUUACAGAUUUAUUCAUUUAUUUUUAUUUAUUUAGCCCCCUUUAUAUUUACACAUUUAUUUCCUUAUUUUUAACAGAUUGAUUUUUAAAAAUUUAUUCUUUUAUAUAUUCCUCUUUAUAUUUACACAUUUAUUUCCUUAUUUUUUCCAUACCACAUUAGCUGUUGUGUUCAUGAAAAAUGAUACUUUUUCUUGUCAGUUGAGCAUCUGUUGCAGUCAGAUCUCUUUUGUGCCGGUACAGUUUCUAAACUGGGGAGAAGACGGGACUCUGCAGGUUUUCUUGCCACUUUUAUGUUGAAUUUGAUAACAGGAACUGAGAUUUUUCUCUGUUCUCUUUGCUUUAGGAGUUAAACAACAUAAAAUGCUGUAAUGAGCGAACCCUACAGCAAAUCUGAUGUACUUUAGUUUCCAAAAUCUAAACAAAUAUGAGCUAAAAGUUGAGGUUUCAUUUGCAGCACACUGUGUCAUUUUAUACACUAUAUUGCCAAAAGUAUUGGCUCACCUGCCUUGACUGGCAUAUGAACCUAAGUGACAUCCCAUUCCUAAUCCAUAGGGUUCAAUAUGACGUUGGUCCACCCUUUGCAGCUAGAACAGCUUCAACUCUUCUGGGAAGGCUGUCCACAAGGUUUAGGAGUGUGUUUAUGGGAAUUUUUGACCAUUCUUCCAGAAGCACAUUUGUGAGGUCACACACUGAUGUUGGACCAGAAGGUCUGGCUCUCAGUCUCUGCUCUAUUCAUCCCAAAGGUGUUCUAUGGGGUUGAGGUCAGGACUCUGUGCAGGCCAGUCAAGUUCAUCCACACCAGACUCUGUCAUCCAUGUCUUUAUGGACCUUGCUUUGUGCACUGGUGCACAGUCAUGUUGGAAGAGGAAGGGACCAGCUCCAAACUGUUCCCACAAAGUUGGGAGCAUGGAAUUGUCCAAAAUGUCUUGGUAUGCUGAAGCAUUCAGAGUUCCUUUCACUGGAACUAAGGGUCCAAGCCCAGCUCCUGAAAAACAAGCCCACACCAUAAUCCCCCCUCCACCAAACUUUACACUUGGCACAAUGCAGUCCGACAAGUAUGGUUCUCCUGGCAACCACCAAACCCAGACUGGUCCAUCAGAUUGCCAGAUGGAGAAGCGUGAUUGGUCACUCCAGAGAAGGUGUCUCCACUGCUCUAGAGUCCAGUGGUGGCUGCUUUACACCACUGCAUCCCACGCUUUGCAUUGCACUUGGUGAUGUAUGGCUUGGAUGCAGCUGCUCAGCCAUGGAAACCCAUUCCAUGAAGCUCUGCUGAAGCACUGUUCUGGAGCUAAUCUGAAGGCCACAUGAAGUUUGAAGGUUUGUAGCGAUUGACUCUGCAGAAAGUUGGCGACCUCUUGGCACUAUGCUCCUCAGCAUCCACUGACCUCGCUCUGUCAGUUUACCACCUACCGCUUGGUGGCGGAGUUGCUGUCGUUCCUACACACUUCCACUUUCUUAUAAUACAGCUGACAGUUGACUGUGGAAUAUUUAGGAGCCAGGAAAUGUCACGACUGGAUUUGUUGCACAGGUGGCAUCCUAUCACAGUUCCACGCUGGAAUUCACUGAGCUCCUGAGAGUGAGCCAUUCUUUCACAAAUGUUUGUAAAAGCAGUCUGCAGCCUAGGUGCUGGAUUUUAUACACCUGUGGCCAUGGAAGGGAUUGGAACACCUGAUUCUGAUUAUUUGGAUGGGUGAGCGAAUGCUUUUGGCAAUAUAGUAUAUGUCUGGAGUUCUUCAGACCCUGCCUUAAAAUCAUCAGUUUUCUAAGGUUUCUACAGCAUUAAAGUCAUUCAUUGAUAGCUGUUGUUACAUCUAAUAAUAGAUCUUGAAGUAAUGGGGUCCGUUUCACGAAGCAGGUUCAACAAACUCUGAGUUUAACCCUGAACUCUGAGUUGAUCUACUCUGAGAUAGAAAACUGAGUUUCCGGUUCCAGAACGGCUGAUCUGAGUUGGCUUAAUCAACUCGGAGUAGUUUCACCCGGAGUUAAGCGCGUGCACCACAACUCUGAAAAGCCAGUAUCAAUGGAGCGCCGAUUCGACGAGUCACCAUGGCAACAGGGAAGCGGAGGACUACACUGCUUGAAUUGGAAAUCUUAAUGCGCUUAUAUAGCGAGUCUGAACACGUUUUUAGAAAGAAGUGCAACACCUGCAGCUGCAAAACAGAGGGAGACGGCGUGGGAGAACAUUGCUGCCUGGGUCAAUGCGUAAGUUUAAAUCACAAUAAUAUUACAGGAAAACUGUUUGAAUAGUAGCCUAUUAAGUUAUUUCAUUUAGGUGCAAUCCUGCAGGGGAGAAGCACAUGUGGCAGCAGCUGAAGAUGAAAUAUAAAAACAUUUUUAAAACAGAUUCUGAUGGUACUAUCUGCCUGGUGGAGCCCCUUCACACCACAACAGACCUUGUAACUGAUGAAGAGGAUGAAACUGUGUCUGCUGCCUUUACAGAGGGGGAUCCAGAAAGGCAUACAGAGAGCAUGGCUGGACAGCAGCAGGAUGCUUCCUCAACUUCCACUGCACAGACUGACACAGUGAGAUGGAUGUUCAGUAAACACCAGAGGUUCAGUCCAUGGAAUUCAUGUGCAACUGUAUAAUUUAAUGUCCUUUAUGUAUUCCCAGUUACCAGUAAAACAAAUAUACAAAAUCCACUUGCUGAGAUAAACACAAAAAACAGAUAAAGAAAUGCAGUACUUGGACCACCAGAUUAAGAAGGCAGAUCUGGAAAUUGAUCUGGAGCACAAGUUAGAGGUGGAUGCAGGUCACAGGUGAAUUAUGUUAACUACUGGAACAUGAACUAAACUAGCUCUUUUAUUUGUAGGAAAUAAAGAAGACCAAAUGAAAUGUGUGUCAUGUGUUUAUUUGACUGCUGUGGUGGUGAUGAUGG